This 465-nucleotide ribosomal RNA is filed under the name Vreelandella stevensii. RNAcentral's name for it is "partial 16S ribosomal RNA". It matches the Rfam family "Bacterial small subunit ribosomal RNA", at positions 338 to 795 of the family's 1533-position model. Lineage: Bacteria; Pseudomonadati; Pseudomonadota; Gammaproteobacteria; Oceanospirillales; Halomonadaceae. The record is from RNAcentral.
CCUACGGGGGGCUGCAGUGGGGCAUAUUGGACAAUGGGGGCAACCCUGAUCCAGCCAUGCCGCGUGUGUGAAGAAGGCCCUCGGGUUGUAAAGCACUUUCAGUGAGGAAGAACGCCUGGUGGUUAAUACCCAUCAGGAAAGACAUCACUCACAGAAGAAGCACCGGCUAACUCCGUGCCAGCAGCCGCGGUAAUACGGAGGGUGCGAGCGUUAAUCGGAAUUACUGGGCGUAAAGCGCGCGUAGGUGGCUUGAUAAGCCGGUUGUGAAAGCCCCGGGCUCAACCUGGGAACGGCAUCCGGAACUGUCAAGCUAGAGUGCAGGAGAGGAAGGUAGAAUUCCCGGUGUAGCGGUGAAAUGCGUAGAGAUCGGGAGGAAUACCAGUGGCGAAGGCGGCCUUCUGGACUGACACUGACACUGAGGUGCGAAAGCGUGGGUAGCAAACAGGAUUAGAUACCCUAGUAGUC